UGCCCAUUAGCUAGCCUACAAACUUAAAAACAACAAACCACAUCAAUAACCCCUCAACCCCUGAAUAUCAUAAACAAAUCAUUUUUCCCUCCUAGUAUGUGCGACAGAAAGGAGCCAUUAAUAAGCAACAGAAAAAGUACCGCAAGGGAACGCUGAAAGAGAAAUGAAACAACUCAGUAAAGCAUAAAAAAGCAAAGAUUACAGCUUGUACCUUUUGCAUCAUGAUUUAGCCAGCAUACACCAAGCAAAGCGCCCUUUAGUUUGGCACCCCGAAACUAAGUGAGCUACUUCAGGCCAGCCUAUUAACAGGGCCAACCCGUCUCUGUGGCAAAAGAGUGGGAAGAGCCUCAAGUAGAGGUGAAAGAUCUACCGAACUUAGUGAUAGCUGGUUACCUGGGAAAUGGAUAGGAGUUCAGCCUAUCGACUUCUCUGCCUCAUAUCAAAUUUUGGUAUUGUUACUUAAAUAACAUAACCCCUCGUUGACCAUAAGAGCUGAGAGAAAUCAAUAGAGUUAGUCAAAGGGGGAACAGCCCCUUUGACAAAAGACACAACUUUUUUAGGAGGAUAAAGAUCAUUAUACAAUUAAGGUAAAAUGUUUUGGUGGGCCUAAAAGCAGCCAUCCAUCAAGAAAGCGUUAAAGCUCUAACAUACUCACAACCUUCGGAUACGGAUCAAAAAUCUUUAACCCCUGACCCUACCAGGUCGCCCUAUAGUACUAUAGGAGAGAUAAUGCUAAUAUGAGUAAUAAGAGGGCUUAUUCCCUCUCCUUGCAUAAGUGUAAAUCGGAACGGAACCACCCCCGAAACUUAACGGCCCCAAACACAGAGGGAAGUGAACAAACGACUCUCCAAGAAAACACAUCACCCCCUACCGUUAACCCUACACUGGAGUGCCCUAAUGGAAAGACUAAAAGAAAAAGAAGGAACUCGGCAAACACAUUUAAGCCUCGCCUGUUUACCAAAAACAUCGCCUCUUGCAAAACACACAUAAGAGGUCCCGCCUGCCCAGUGACUGUUUGUUAAACGGCCGCGGUAUCCUGACCGUGCCAAGGUAGCGCAAUCACUUGCCCUUUAAAUGGGGGCCCGUAUGAAUGGCACCACGAGGGCUAAGCUGUCUCCUUUUUCAGGUCAAUGAAAUUGAUCUCCCCGUGCAGAAGCGGGGAUAUAAUCAUAAGACGAGAAGACCCUGUGGAGCUUUAGACUUUAAGACUGACCCAUUCCCCACCUUGAUAACCCCUGGCUGAAACAUGGGAUACCGUCUGACUAUCUUUGGUUGGGGCGACCGUGGGGAUUAACAGAACCCCCAUGUGGACCGAGUGCCUACGCACUCAAAACCAAGAGUUACCACUCUAGUUAACAGAACUUCUGACUUACAAAUGAUCCGACAAAGUCGAUCAACGAACCGAGUUACCCCAGGGAUAACAGCGCAAUCCUCUUUGAGAGUUCAUAUCGACAAGGGGGUUUACGACCUCGAUGUUGGAUCAGGACAUCCCAAUGGCGCAGCAACUAUUAAGGGUUCGUUUGUUCAACGAUUAAAGUCCUACGUGAUCUGAGUUCAGACCGGAGUAAUCCAGGUCAGUUUCUAUCUAUGCUAUGUUUCCUUCUAGUACGAAAGGACCGAGGCAAAGGGGCCUAUUUCUAGAUACGCCCCACCCUAAACUAAUGCAACCAACUAAAAUAGGCAACAGGGCAUAACCCCUUUGUCGAAGAAAUAUGACACU
This 1720-nucleotide ribosomal RNA is filed under the name Scolopsis ciliata. RNAcentral describes it as "16S ribosomal RNA". It matches the Rfam family "Bacterial large subunit ribosomal RNA". The record is from RNAcentral. RNAcentral also lists the same sequence under 1 other name. Lineage: Eukaryota; Metazoa; Chordata; Actinopteri; Spariformes; Nemipteridae.